AUAGGGGAGCCGAAGGGAAACCGAGUCUUAACUGGGCGCUAAGUUGCAGGGUAUAGACCCGAAACCCGGUGAUCUAGCCAUGGGCAGGUUGAAGGUUGGGUAACACUAACUGGAGGACCGAACCGACUAAUGUUGAAAAAUUAGCGGAUGACUUGUGGCUGGGGGUGAAAGGCCAAUCAAACCGGGAGAUAGCUGGUUCUCCCCGAAAGCUAUUUAGGUAGCGCCUCGUGAAUUCAUCUCCGGGGGUAGAGCACUGUUUCGGCAAGGGGGUCAUCCCGACUUACCAACCCGAUGCAAACUGCGAAUACCGGAGAAUGUUAUCACGGGAGACACACGGCGGGUGCUAACGUCCGUCGUGAAGAGGGAAACAACCCAGACCGCCAGCUAAGGUCCCAAAGUCAUGGUUAAGUGGGAAACGAUGUGGGAAGGCCCAGACAGCCAGGAUGUUGGCUUAGAAGCAGCCAUCAUUUAAAGAAAGCGUAAUAGCUCACUGGUCGAGUCGGCCUGCGCGGAAGAUGUAACGGGGCUAAACCAUGCACCGAAGCUGCGGCAGCGACACUAUGUGUUGUUGGGUAGGGGAGCGUUCUGUAAGCCUGUGAAGGUGGCCUGUGAGGGUUGCUGGAGGUAUCAGAAGUGCGAAUGCUGACAUAAGUAACGAUAAAGCGGGUGAAAAGCCCGCUCGCCGGAAGACCAAGGGUUCCUGUCCAACGUUA
RNAcentral lists this ribosomal RNA (713 nucleotides) under Escherichia coli. Its description in RNAcentral is "partial 23S ribosomal RNA". It matches the Rfam family "Bacterial large subunit ribosomal RNA", at positions 657 to 1367 of the family's 2925-position model. The record is from RNAcentral. Lineage: Bacteria; Pseudomonadati; Pseudomonadota; Gammaproteobacteria; Enterobacterales; Enterobacteriaceae.